This 468-nucleotide ribosomal RNA is filed under the name uncultured bacterium. RNAcentral describes it as "partial 16S ribosomal RNA". It matches the Rfam family "Bacterial small subunit ribosomal RNA", at positions 28 to 507 of the family's 1533-position model. The record is from RNAcentral.
GACGAACGCUGGCGGCGUGCUUAACACAUGCAAGUCGAACGGAAAGGCCCUGCGUUUGUGGGGUGCUCGAGUGGCGAACGGGUGAGUAACACGUGAGUAACCUGCCCUUGACUUUGGGAUAACUUCAGGGAACUGGGGCUAAUACCGGAUAGGAGCUCCUGCUGCAUGGUGGGGGUUGGAAAGAUUCGGCGGUGGGGGAUGGAAUGGCGGCUUACCAGCUUGUUGGUGGGGUAGUGGUAUACCAAGGCUUUGACGGGUAGGCGGCCUGAGAGGGUGGACAGGGACAUGGGUCCUGCGGGAGGGACCAGUCGGGUAUGGGAGGCAAUGGGGGGAAGUAUGACGGAGCGAGGCGGCGUCAGAUACGGCGACGCCGGGAGCGGGAUAAUCUGUUACUGGUUGUAAACCAAUGUGGCAUGUGACGAACCGUGAUUGACGGUAACGAGUAAGAAAGCCACGGCUAACUACGUG